AGACUUUGAUCAUGGCUCAGGAUGAACGCUGGCGGCGUGCCUAAUACAUGCAAGUCGAACGCGAGCACUUGUGCUCGAGUGGCGAACGGGUGAGUAAUACAUAAGUAACCCUGCCCUAGACAGGGGGAUAACUAUUGGAAACGAUAGCUAAGACCGCAUAGGUACGGACACUGCAUGGUGACCGUAUUAAAAGUGCCUCAAAGCACUGGUAGAGGAUGGACUUAUGGCGCAUUAGCUGGUUGGCGGGGUAACGGCCCACCAAGGCGACGAUGCGUAGCCGACCUGAGAGGGUGACCGGCCACACUGGGACUGAGACACGGCCCAGACUCCUACGGGAGGCAGCAGUAGGGAAUUUUCGGCAAUGGGGGAAACCCUGACCGAGCAACGCCGCGUGAAGGAAGAAGGUUUUCGGAUUGUAAACUUCUGUUAUAAAGGAAGAACGGCGGCUACAGGAAAUGGUAGCCGAGUGACGGUACUUUAUUAGAAAGCCACGGCUAACUACGUGCCAGCAGCCGCGGUAAUACGUAGGUGGCAAGCGUUAUCCGGAAUUAUUGGGCGUAAAGAGGGAGCAGGCGGCAGCAAGGGUCUGUGGUGAAAGCCUGAAGCUUAACUUCAGUAAGCCAUAGAAACCAGGCAGCUAGAGUGCAGGAGAGGAUCGUGGAAUUCCAUGUGUAGCGGUGAAAUGCGUAGAUAUAUGGAGGAACGCCAGUGGCGAAGGCGACGAUCUGGCCUGCAACUAACGCUCAGUCCCGAAAGCGUGGGGAGCAAAUAGGAUUAGAUACCCUAGUAGUCCACGCCGUAAACGAUGAGUACUAAGUGUUGGAUGUCAAAGUUCAGUGCUGCAGUUAACGCAAUAAGUACUCCGCCUGAGUAGUACGUUCGCAAGAAUGCAACUCAAAUGAAUUGA
RNAcentral lists this ribosomal RNA (907 nucleotides) under uncultured bacterium. RNAcentral's name for it is "bacterial SSU rRNA". It matches the Rfam family "Bacterial small subunit ribosomal RNA", at positions 8 to 913 of the family's 1533-position model. The record is from RNAcentral.